UACGAAGGGGGCUAGCGUUGCCCGGAAUUAUUGGGCGUAAAGCGCUCGUAGGCGGCUUUCUAAGUCGGGGGUGAAAUCCUGGAGCUCAACUCCAGAACUGCCUUCGAUACUGGAGAGCUCGAGUCCGGGAGAGGUGAGUGGAACUGCGAGUGUAGAGGUGAAAUUCGUAGAUAUUCGCAAGAACACCAGUGGCGAAGGCGGCUCACUGGCCCGGUACUGACGCUGAGGUGCGAAAGCGUGGGGAGCAAACAGG
Molecule: ribosomal RNA, 253 nt
Filed under: uncultured bacterium
Lineage: Bacteria
Description: partial 16S ribosomal RNA
Rfam family: Bacterial small subunit ribosomal RNA
Source: RNAcentral